RNAcentral lists this ribosomal RNA (497 nucleotides) under uncultured bacterium. RNAcentral describes it as "partial 16S ribosomal RNA". It matches the Rfam family "Bacterial small subunit ribosomal RNA", at positions 28 to 507 of the family's 1533-position model. The record is from RNAcentral.
GAUGAACGCUGGCGGCGUGCCUAAUACAUGCGAGUCGAGCGAACAGACGAGGAGCUUGCUCCUCUGACGUUAGCGGCGGACGGGUGAGUAACACGUGGAUAACCUACCUAUAAGACUGGGAUAACUUCGGGAAACCGGAGCUAAUACCGGAUAAUAUAUUGAACCGCAUGGUUCAAUAGUGAAAGACGGUUUUGCUGUCACUUAUAGAUGGAUCCGCGCCGCAUUAGCUAGUUGGUAAGGUAACGGCUUACCAAGGCAACGAUGCGUAGCCGACCUGAGAGGGUGAUCGUCCACACUGGAACUGAGACACGGUCCAGACGCCUACGGGAGGCAGCAGUAGGGAAUCUUCCGCAAUGGGCGAAAGCCUGACGGAGCAACGCCGCGUGAGUGAUGAAGGUCUUCGGAUCGUAAAACUCUGUUAUUAGGGAAGAACAAAUGUGUAAGUAACUAUGCACGUCUUGACGGUACCUAAUCAGAAAGCCACGGCUAACUACGUG